RNAcentral lists this ribosomal RNA (253 nucleotides) under uncultured bacterium. RNAcentral's name for it is "partial 16S ribosomal RNA". It matches the Rfam family "Bacterial small subunit ribosomal RNA", at positions 524 to 776 of the family's 1533-position model. The record is from RNAcentral.
GACAGAGGUCCCGAGCGUUAGGCGGAAUCACUGGGCUUAAAGCGUGUGUAGGCGGCGGCCUAAGUACCUUGUGAAAUCCCACGGCUCACCCGUGGAACUGCUCGGUAUACUGGGUCGCUUGAGCCACUUAGGGGCUACCGGAACAAAUGGUGGAGCGGUGAAAUGCGUAGAUAUCAUUUGGAACGCCAAUGGUGAAAACAGGUAGCUGGGAGUGUGCUGACGCUGAGGCACGAAGGUCAGGGGAGCAAACGGG